RNAcentral lists this long non-coding RNA (13882 nucleotides) under Oryza sativa (Asian cultivated rice). RNAcentral describes it as "long non-coding RNA (OSAT_LNC000448)". The record is from RNAcentral. Lineage: Eukaryota; Viridiplantae; Streptophyta; Magnoliopsida; Poales; Poaceae.
UUUGUAGAGCGGUUUUGCUAAUAUGGCGCCUGUGUGGCAGUGUUGACCUAGCCUUUGUCUCAUGUGGCACUUAUGUGGUAUUAGAAUUAAAAAAUAUAUCACACAAAAUAUAGUAUGUGACCCACUGACAUGUGGGUCCCACCUGCUGUCGGUGACAUGGGACCGGGAGUAUCAUAACUUAGAGACUUGAGUCAGACACGAUCACCCACGUGGCCUAACCCCCUCGGGGGGGGGGGGGGGUCGGGCCCGAGGGUGAUACGGCCGCCCUUCUCUUUGUCUCCCCGAGGGGUUGGACCGCUCCCGUCUCGGCCCCGAGGGCCGAGGCGCCCCGACCCCUUGUGGGUUUUGCGCCGCGUAUAUGGGGUAGGUGAGCAUAGCGGGGCUCACCUAACCACAUUUAUUGCGGUUUGGACGAGCGCGUCAUGCCGCAUGUAACGCAGUGCAGCGCGCUCGUUUAUCCGGUCAGUGACCAGUCACAGACCGAUCAGAUCGUGGGUUAGGUGGCGACAGGCGGUCUGACGCACGCCUCGCCCCAUCCUGUCAGGACGAGAGCCUCCAAGCACUCGUCCCUAGCCGGAGCCGGCGUGUUAGCUCCUGGAGAUGGCACGUUGGUUCCGGUCAGAUAUAUGCCAGGCUUCAUCCUAACCAUUACAGGCAAGAUAUUGUAUGAAGAAGGGCGAACAUGCAGAUUUAUAGACUGACGCGUGGUGGACAAGAAUGACCGAUUUGUGACCGGUCUGACACUGGUCAUGUCGUCAGCAGACAGCCAUUUUCCCACGUCGCGCCUGCUUCCGGCGGAAGUGGAGGUAGGUAUGGGCUGUCCCAUCAGAAGGUCAUUCGGACGGCAACCAUACAAGUCUCCGUCUGUUUAUGAAAAGAUAGGAUAAGUCCCCACAAAAAAGAGAGAGAUGGUGCAUGUGGUAUCCCCUUGAGGUAUAAAAGGAGGACCUUGCCCACUUAGAAGAUGAGGAUUUUCGGAUCCAGAAAGAUCAGAGAGGGAGAAAGUAAGAGCUCUCUGGUUCUCCAGCUCUUUUGUAGCUUCUUCAUACACAGAUCCACCAAAACACAGGAGUAGGGUAUUACGCUUCUCAGCGGCCCGAACCUGUAUACAUCGCCCGUGUCUUGUGUGUUUCCACUCUCGCGAACCUUCCACACUCAGACCAGGAGCUUAGAAUCUCACCCAGGGCCCCCGGCCGAACCGGCAAAGGGGGGCCUGUGCGGUCUCCCGGUGAGGAGCCCCACGCUCCGUCAUCUGGCGCGCCAGGUAGGGGGCUUUGCGUGUGUUUUUCUAAGCUCUCGCAUUCUUUCGUGUGCGCCAAGCUUUUCCUGUUCAGCCCAAUGGCCGAACAAGCAAAGGCGCACAACCUCUCUCCGAGUGUUAGCGGUGACGACGGGGAGCCGAACCCACGCCGUCGAGCUCGUACUCCACCGCCCCCUCCACGCCAAAGUCCUAGGCGGGAGGAGGCGCUCGAGAGGGUCGAAGGAUCCGCGACUUCGACAUCCACGGGUGAUGGGGAAGGGCGGCGAGAUGGGGAGCGUCGCCUCCUCGUCUACGGCGACGGCAGCACGCCCCAGGGCGCGCUCCAAGCUGCGGGCGCGCUCCUACGUCACCCGCCCAUUGUCCCUGACCCGGAGUCUCCAGCCCAACGUUGGCUGGACGACGUGGCCAACUUGGUCAUGACGGCACGGCAGCGCCUAGGUGCUGGUGGGCGGUCCUCCGCCACCAAGACCUCUGGCGCUGCUACCACCGGCUCCGUGUUGUCAAGGCGGAGAGCGCGGCGAGCGGCGGCUGUUGCUCGCCAUUCAGCCGCCACUCCUUCGUCAGCGCCUCCGACCCAGGAAGAUCUGCGUGGGGGGCCGGAUCCCCGCAUCAGUAUCGAGCGCCGGCGUAAUGGCCGGCGUGCUGCCCACGCAACGGAGGGCGCCUCCUCGUCCGGAGUGUCAUAUCAACACGGACGCGGGGAUCAGCCCUCCGUGCCCCCGGUUGGUGGUGUCGGCUGUAGAGCCUUUGUGGCGAGCCUUCGGAACGUCCGUUGGCCCCCAAGGUUCCGGCCCACCAUCGCCGAAAAAUAUGACGGGAGCGUCAACCCCGCCGAGUUUCUCCAGGUCUACACGACCGGGAUCGAGGCCGCCGGGGGUGACGACAGGGUCAUGGCAAAUUUCUUUCCCAUGGCCCUGAAGGGACAGGCACGGGGUUGGCUAAUGAAUUUGCCACCCGCGUCCGUCCACUCUUGGGAGGAUUUGUGCCAACAGUUCACCAUGAACUUUCAAGGCACAUAUCCGCGCCCAGGUGAAGAAGCGGACUUACAUGCAGUCCAGCGAAGGGAUGAUGAGUCACUUCGCUCAUACAUUCAGCGGUUCUGUCAAGUCCGCAACACCAUACCAUGCAUCCCUGCACACGCGGUGAUCUACGCGUUCAGGGGGGGUGUGCGGCACAACCGCAUGCUCGAAAAGAUCGCCUCCAAAGAGCCCCAGACUACCGCGGAGCUUUUUCAGCUCGCAGACCGAGUGGCUCGAAAGGAAGAGGCAUGGACCUGGAACCCCUCCGGUUCCGGUGUGGCAGCUUCGGCCGCCCCCGAAUCCGCUGCUCGGACAGGGCGGCGUGACAGGAGGAGGAAGAAGAGGUCAGCCCAUUCCGACGACGAGGGUCAUGUCCUCGCCGUCGAGGGCGCUUCGCGGGCCACCCGAAAGGGGAGGCCUGCGAGCGACAAAAAGAAGGAGGCUGGCGCUCCCAGUAGGGAGCGCUCAACCGGCAAGUGGUGCAUCGUCCAGAACACCUCCCUUCACGACCUCGCGGACUGCCGCGCAGUCAAAAGUUUGGCUGAGCGGACGAGGAAGUGGGAGGAGGAGAGGAGGCAGGAGCGCCGAGAGGGCAAGUCCCCGGCGGUUCCUUCCGGCAAUCGGCGAAGUGAGGCCAAGCAGAAGGCCCCCGCCGAGGACAUCGAUGACGGCGAUGAUGACCUAGGUUUCCAAGAGCCUGGGGCCACCAUUGCCACUGUCGAUGGGGGAGCGUGUGCUCACGUUUCUCGCCGGAGCCUCAAGGCCAUGAAGCGAGAGCUUCUGGCCGCGGCCCCUACUCAUGAGGCGACGCGCCGGGCGCGGUGGUCGGAGGUUGCUCUCACCUACGACCAGACCGACCACCCACCGUGCGUUGCCCGGGGAGGACAGAUCGCAAUGGUGGUUUCCCCCACGGUUUGCAACGUGAAGCUGGGGCGUGUCCUCAUUGAUGGGGGAGCAGCCCUCAACAUCCUUUCCCCCGCAGCCUUUGACGCUAUCAAGGCCCCGGGGAUGGUGCUCCGGCCGUCCCAGCCGAUUAUCGGUGUGACGCCGGGUCACACUUGGCCGCUAGGUCAUAUCGACCUCCCGGUCACCUUCGGUGGAUCCGCCAACUUCCGCACGGAGCGGGUGAACUUUGAUGUGGCGGACCUCAGUCUGCCCUACAACGCGGUCCUAGGGAGGCCCGCGUUGGUGAAGUUCAUGGCGGCAGUCCACUACGCCUACCUCCAGAUGAAGAUGCCGGGCCCCGGUGGCCCCAUCUCUGUCCAUGGCGACCUCAAAGUCGCGCUUGCUUGUAUGGAGCAGCGCGCGGACCACCUCACCGCCGCGUCCAAGCCCGAGGGAGGCGACGAGAGGCUUGGCACCUCCGCCCCCGCCGCCCCGAGGCAGCGGAUAGUCACAUGCGACGAGGUCCCGGUCAAGGAGGUUGCCCUGGGCGACGGCCCGUCCAAGACCACACGGAUCGGUGGUCUUCUGGACGGCAAAUAGGAAGACGCGCUCGUCUCUUUCCUGCGGGCAAACGCUGACGUCUUCGCAUGGAGACCAGCGGAUAUGCCCGGGGUCCCAAGGGAGGUGAUUGAGCACCGUCUCGCCGUGCGGUCGGGCGCAAGGCCGGUCCGGCAGAAAGUACGGCGGCAGGUCCCGGAACGUCAAGCCUUCAUCCGCGAGGAGGUGGCGCGACUUCUGGAAGCCGGAUUCAUCCGCGAGGUCAUCCAUCCGGAGUGGCUGGCGAACCCGGUGGUCGUUCCCAAGGCGAACGGCAAGCUUCGGAUGUGCAUCGACUACACCGACCUUAACAAGGCAUGUCCUAAGGACCCUUACCCCCUGCCUCGCAUAGAUCAGAUUGUCGACUCCACAGCGGGGUGCGACCUUUUGUGUUUUCUAGAUGCAUACUCUGGUUACCAUCAGAUUCGCAUGGCUAGGGAGGAUGAGGAAAAAACUGCAUUCAUUACCCCCAUAGGAACUUAUUGUUAUACGACAAUGCCCUUCGGGUUAAAGAAUGCAGGUCCUACUUUUCAACGCACUACUCGAAUUUCUUUGGGUAGCCAAAUAGGACGUAAUGUUGAGGCUUAUGUCGAUGACUUGGUUGUAAAGACGCGCAACCAAGAGACCUUACUCUCGGAUCUAGCGGAAACUUUUAAGAGUCUCCGCUCCGCCCGCAUAAAACUGAACCCCGAUAAGUGCGUGUUCGAUGUACCUGCGGGCAAGCUUCUCGGGUUUUUGGUCUCUGCCCGAGGCAUCGAGGCCAACCCCGAGAAGAUACGAGCUAUAGAGCGGAUGCGCCCCCCAGCAAGCUUAGGGAUGUGCAAUGCGUCACCGGUUGCAUGGCCGCCCUAAGUCGGUUCAUAUCGAGGCUGGGAGAGAAGGCGCUACCCUUAUUUAAGCUCCUCAAACGCUCCGGGCCGUUUACUUGGACGGAGGAAGCUGAACGUGCCCUCACUCAGUUGAAGGCGUAUCUCAGCUCUCCCCCAGUUCUGGUCGCCCCGGAGCCAAAUGAACCCUAGCUACUCUACUUAGCGGCGACCCCGCAAGUGGUUAGUGCGGCGUUGAUUGUGGAGCGCGAUGAGGACAAUCCUCAUUCCGCGCACCCCCACCCUGUGCUGGCUUGGCCCGGGAGAGAGCAGGGAGGAGAGGCCCCCGAGCCGAACGGUGGCCCAAGGCCCCCGACGACCGGAGCAGGCCCUCUGCCCGCUUGUCAGAUGGUGCCAGGUGCCCCCGACCCCCAGGAUGGCCCGAGGGCCACUGCGGGAAGGCCGCACCUAUCGCCCUCUGACCCCGAGGCUAACCCUGUGCCGACUCGACCCGGGAGAGAGCAGGGAGAAGAGGCCCCCGAGCCGAACGGUGGCCUAAGGCCCCUGACGACCGGAGUUGGCCCUUUGCCCGCUUGUCCGACGACGCCAAGAGCCCCCGACCCCCUGGACGGCCCCGAGGCCACUGUGGGAAGGCCGCCCCUGUCGUCCUCCGACCCCGAGGUCGUCGGCACAGAAGACGAGUGCACCCCGCGAGGCCGCUUGGACAAAGAGCACCCCAGGGAUGUGGCCCCUAGCGAAGAGGAUCGGCCCCACCGAAAGGUGCAGCGGCCCGUCUACUUUGUUAGUGAGGCCCUCCGGGACGCCAAGACCCGAUACCCUCAGGCCCAGAAGAUGCUUUACGCUAUUCUGAUGGCUUCGAGGAAACUGCGCCAUUAUUUCCAGGCGCAUCGGGUCACGGUGAUUACGUCUUACCCCCUCGGCCAAAUCCUGCAUAAUUGAGAGGGUACUGGACGGGUGGUGAAAUGGGCAAUCGAACUUUCUGAGUUUGAUUUGCACUUUGAACCACAUCACGCUAUCAAGAGCCAGGCCCUCGCCGAUUUUGUGGCAGAGUGGACCCCAGCUCCCGAGCCCGUCUCAGUCCCCGAGGCCAGCUCGGGCCCCUCACAGCUGCCUCACACCGCCCAUUGGGUGAUGCAGUUCGACGGCUCCCUGUCUCUUCAGGGCACCGGUGCGGGGGUCACGUUGACCUCGCCGAGCGGAGACGUCCUCAGAUAUUUGGUUCGCCUUGACUUUCGGGCGACCAAUAAUAUGGCAGAGUACGAGGGACUCCUUGCGGGACUCAGGGUGGCAGCUGGACUGGGGAUCCGCCGCCUCCUGGUGUUAGGCGACUCCUAGCUGGUCGUUAACCAGGUCUGUAAGGAGUACCGGUGCUCUGACCCGCAGAUGGACGCUUACGUGCGCCAAGUACGGCGUAUGGAGCGCCAUUUUGACGGGAUAGAGCUUCGGCACGUGCCCAGACGGGAUAACACGGUUGCCGACGAACUCUCACGGCUCACUUCCUCGCGAGCCCAGACCCCACCGGGCGCCUUUGAAGAAAGGCUUGCCCAGCCGUCAGCGCGACCCGACCCCUUAGGGGAGACGGACGCGCCUGACAGGCCCCCGAAGCCCGUCGGAGUCCAGGCCUCGGGACCCGAGGGGAGCGCUCCCAGCUCCCUUAGAUUGAUUGCUUGGAUCGCUGAGAUCCAAGCAUACCUCACAGAUAAGACUCUACCCGAGGACCGCGAAGGGAGUGAACGCGUCCAACGCAUCUCCAAACGCUACGUGCUGGUAGAAGGGACCCACUAUCGGCGCGCGGCUAAUGGAAUCCUCCUGAAGUGCAUUCUUCGGGAACAAGGCGUCGAGCUUCUUGCCGAUAUCCAUGAAGGCGAAUGCGGAUCCCACUCCACCUCGCGCACCUUGGUUGGCAAAGCCUUUCGACAAGGUUUCUAUUGGCCGACAGCUCUCAAUGAUGCGGUAGACCUGGUCCGGCGAUGCAGAGCGUGUCAAUUCCACGCCAAGCAAAUCCAUCAGCCGGCCCAGGCCCUGCAGAUCAUACCACUUUCAUGGCCAUUUGCUGUCUGGGGGCUCGAUAUCCUGGGACCGUUUAGGCGGGCCCCGGGCGGGUUUGAGUAUCUGUAUGUCGCGAUCGACAAGUUCACUAAGUGGCCCGAGGCUUAUCCGGUCGUCAAGAUCGAUAAGCACUCCGCACUUAAAUUCAUUAAGGGCAUCACAACCCGGUUUGGAGUGCCUAACCGUAUUAUUACGGAUAACGGCACCCAAUUCACUAGUGAACUUUUCGGCGAUUACUGCGAAGACAUGGGCAUCAAGCUCUGCUUCGCCUCACCUGCCCACCCCAGAAGCAACGGCCAAGUAGAGCGCGCCAAUGCGGAAAUCCUCAGAGGCCUUAAAACCAAGACCUUCAACAUCCUCAAGAAGCACGGCGAUUCGUGGAUCGAGGAGUUGCCAGCGGUGCUCUGGGCGAACCGAACCACGCCAAGCCGAGCAACCGGGGAAACGCCUUUCUUCCUCGUCUACGGCACGGAAGCGGUUCUCCCAUCCGAGCUCACCCUGAGGUCCCCUCGGGCCACCAUGUACUGCGAGGCUGAUCAAGAUCAGCUUCGCAGAGAUGACCUCGACUACUUGGAAGAGCGAAGGCGGCGCGCGGCCCUCCGAGCCGCGCGCUACCAGCAGAGCCUGCGGCGCUACCAUCAGCGCCACGUCCGGGCCCGAUCACUCUGCGUCGACAACCUCGUCCUACGCCGCGUCCAAACGCGUGCUGGAUUGAGCAAGCUCUCACCAAUGUGGGAGGGUCCGUAUCGAGUGAUCGGCGUCCCCCGGCCGGGCUCCGUUCGGCUGGCCACGGGCGACGGCACAGAGUUGCCUAACCCGUGGAACAUCGAACACCUUCGUCGCUUCUACCCCUAAAAGGGGAUCGGGUGUCAGGUUUCGGGCUCGGGCCAACCCCGCACCCCCCUCGGGCGUGCAGGGUUGGCCGGGGGCUACCACAUAUGCAUAUUCUUAUUUCUCUUAUAUCUGUAUUUCAAUAAAAGCAUUUUCGAUUUCCUAAAGGCUGUAUCUGUGCUGUUGUUUCCUUUUGAAGGAUCUUGACUUGAAGUAGGUCACUCGUGUUCAAUCCUGCCCUCGGGGGCUCGGGUCGGCUAAAAUCGCCAAACGGGGCCCAGAACCGAGCCGUGCCCCGGGGCGUGGUGAACUCCGGGGGGGAAUCGGCAAAAACCCACAAUCGGGUCACCCAUAACCCUCGGUCACCACGCUCCCGGCCUGGCCAGUCUCGACAUGUGGAUAUCCCCAGGCACUAGCCCCGACCCGAGCCAUUUGAGGACUAGGACCUGGGCACGAGCCCUUGUUCAAGCCAAGACACAAAAGGACCGCGGCACAGACAUCCUCGUCUCAUACACACAACAAAUAGAAUUGACACAAAAAAUUUCCUCUUUAUUUGAUUGCAGAUUAAAUUAGUCUAUACAAGAAGGGGGCCCGAAGGCCUCGGAAGAAGAAAAGAAGAAACUAUUUAAAGAUUGGCGGGGGCCUGGGGGCUCACUCCGAUGCACCCGGGUCGCCAGCCUCGUCGCCACUGUCGCCCACUCCGCCGUCAUCGUCCUCCUCGUCGGAGUUGAGGGCGAACGCGAGCCGAGGGGCCGAACCCUCGAAGCUGUGGACGAUAUGGUCGGCGGCGUCCCGGACCUGCGCGCGCGCGACAUCCUUGGUCCCGGGAGGGAACUCAUCCAGCGCCGUCCAUGGGGAGAAGUCGGGAUCCCUGGCUUGGUAACUCGCCAGUACGAGCUCCACCGCUCCUCGGGCGAGGUCCCUCGAGGAUGACUUAAUCGUCCUCUCGAGCUCCUCGGGGAGCCGUUGGAGAGUCCCGGCUAUCUCCGAGAGGCGCUGGGCGAGGCCCCCCAGGUUGGCGGCGUACUUCGCAGUCCGCCCGCCCCAGAGGCCCGCCUGCCGGCCGGCGCGGUCUAGACGGGAGACGGCGUCCCGAAGCAUGCCGGGCCCUACCUCGCCUGCCAAGCGGAGGGCCUCAACCUCCCCGGCGGACGAGUCUAGCGCGCCCUGCAAAUCGGCGAUGGUGUGUUCGGCAGCUGCGAGGCGGGCGGUUAAGUCGCUUUCGCCCGCGGCCGCCCCGCCGCUGCGCGCCCUCGCGUCCAGCUCCUUCUCCCGCGCCUCGAGCUCAGCGGCCCGCUGGUUCAGCGCGGCCCUCUCGGCGCGGGCACCUUCCAGAUUACGGCGCGCUUGUUCCUCUUGCGCAGCCUCGCGGAGGGACAGGCUGUCCGCCAGCUGUUGCGCCGCGGCCUCGGCCUCCUCGAGAGCUCGCUCCCGCUCGGUGAGCGCGUCCUCGCGGAGGCGGAGCGCGGACUCUUCUUCGGCACAGGCGGCUUCGUGCACCGCCAGUGUGACCUCCCGAAUAGCAACGGCGGCCUCGCGAUCCGCCAGGUCCCUCUCCACGGCGCAGGCACGCUCUUCUAGCGCCAUGGCACGGGCCUCAAGGGCUUCUUCGCGCCGCCGGGAUGCCACCUCGGUCUCCGCCGCCCGCCGUUCUCGGGCAGCGGCAGCGUCAAGGACCCCCCGGGCGGCGUCGAGCUUUUUCCCUAGCUCCGCCUCCCAGCUCCCAUAUUGAAGGCGGAGGGUGUCCUGCGCCUCGUUCAUCACGGUGGUGGCGAUGAGGGCAGCCCCCCGCUCCUCCUCCACCUCCUUGGCGAUCUCCCCCAUCACCUUCCGACGGGCUUCGAGCUCUGAGACGUGCCGGCGGUGUGCCUUGCGGCCCACCUCCACCAUGGCCUCCACCGAGCGGCGCCCCUCUUCGACACGUGCCCAUGCGGCGUCGAGCUCCACCCGCUCUGCUUGCAAGGCCUCCAUCUGGGCACUUAACCCGUCCAACACCGUGGUGUUAGCGACGGCCAAGGCCUGCAGAAGAGGUUCUGCGCUCAGUGGAGCAACGGAAGGCGUGGGGAAGAGCCGCCUCGAAGAGGAUGCCGCGCGGCUUGGCCCGCCGAUGGACGUGCCGGACUCGGGGAUGUCCCCCGGACCUGGUUUGUCCUGAGCGUCGCACGAGGGAGUGGGCCCAAGCGAUGCGCCCGCGGCCUCGUCGCGAGCUGCUUCGGAAGUCGUCGUCGCCUCGGCCUGGCGAAGUCUGGCCUCCUCCCGAGCGGCUUCUUCAGCUUGGCCAGCUCGGACGGCCACCUGAGCAGCUUCCUCGGCUUCUCGAAGGCGAUCCGUGGCCUCUUGCCGGUCAGUUUCACGGGUCGCCUCGGAGGAUGUCGUCGCCUCGGCCUGGUGAAGUCUGGCCUCCUCCCGAGCGGCUUCUUCAGCUUGGCGAGCUCGGACGGCCACCUGGGCGGCCUCCUCGGCUUCCCGUAGGCGAUCCGCGGCUUCUCGCCGGUCAGAUUCCCGCCUCCGAGCCUCUGUGGUCGCCGGGUCCUCGGCCUCAGACUGGCCGGACUUGGGAUGGCGGGAGGGACGCGACGGGAUCUCGCUGAAACAGAAGAAAGACCAGAAGACAAACAAGAUGGAUGAGUGAAAACUCGCGUUGAGGGAAUGAAUACGGCCACGAUGGGCGUGGGACGAACCUGCGAGGGGGUCGGUUAAACGACCACCUUGGAGGGGAAAUAAGGUUUCCCCGAGAUGGUUCUGUCCCCCACAUCUUGCGGGGCCGUUUCUUCUUCCGCUCCCCCUCGGGCUGCGACGUCGGCGUGGCCCCCUCCGGGCGCCUGCUGCUGGCACGCGCCGCCCCGCCCCCUCGUGGAGGAGAUGGGGGAGGGGUUCCUUCCUGUUUCCUCUUCCCCCGGGCGUCGGCAGGGCGGCCGCUCCCCGGGCCCCUGUCGCGGGGCCCAGAACCAUGACCCCCUCCCGGGGUAGAUUGUUCCCCCCUGCGGCUCCCGCCCGCGCCAUCGUGGCCUCGAGGAGCCCGCUCCUCCGACGCCCCGACCGCCUGCAUGAUGGUCAGGAUGGAGGCGCGGUCUGGAUCGCUGCAGAGGGGGAGGACUCCUUGAGGAAUGAGGGAUGCCUCCACGGAGCUGAGAUUCAGCACCCGUUGGACCACUAUCUUGAAGUCCUCAGGAGCCCAGUCCCAUCUGACUCCCUGGUGAGUCCUCAUACAGUCCUCGGACCCGGUGUACUCCCAGGCACCCCGGGCGCGCCGCUGGAGUGGCGCGAUCCGGCGACGAAGAUAGUCGCCGUACACCAUGGCCCCUGUGAGCCCCAGGGAUCACAGGCCCGCCAGGCGGUCGAGGACGGCGUCAUAGCCAUCUCCCAGAUCUACCGGCGCCCGCCAGCUGGAGGCCUGCGCCGGGGGCUGGCUCGGAAGUCGGAGGCGCGCUUCGUCAGCUAGGGGGGUGUAGAACCAGUCGCUCUUCCAGUCAUCCCACUUCUUGCGGAGGACGCAGGGAAUGUAGCGGUUCAACACCGGCCCCCGCGGUUGGAAGUAGCAGCCACCAACCACCGACGGCGGCGACACUGACUGUACGGUGAAGAACCACCGGAACAGCCGAAGGGAUGGGCGCACCCCGAUGAACAUCUCGCACAGGUGCGCGAAGAUGGCCAAUGUCAUUACCGCGUUGGGGGUGAUGUGCGCCAUCUGGAGAUCGUAAAACUCCAGAACAUCCAUGAAGAAAGAAGAAAAUGGCGGAACCAGCCCUGCCAUUGCAAAAGGGAGGAAGAAGACGGACCGCCCCGGGUAGCAUGGCGCUGGGCGUCCCUCGCCCAGCGUAACUAUCUCCCAGCCGGUGGCAGAUUCCGGCAUGAAGCGGCGCGGCAGCCCGGCCUGCCUCUCGCUCACGAUGCGGGAAGGCGGCAGCACGCUACCAUCAAGCAAAGCGGAGCCCCGUGCCAUGACGCCGGAGGAAGAGAUGUUUAAGAGCGAGCGCGUGUGGCGAAGGUAGGGCACAGGAAACAAGGAGUUAGGGCGCAAGCGGCGAAGACAAGGGGAAUAAUGGCGAGAGGAAGGAAGCAAAUCUCUUCCUCGGCGACUUUAUACCCUUGCCAACGCUGUGCCCGGCUCCUCGUUUCUCGCGCCCACUAUCUUGCCCCCUCGUUUCUCGCGCCCACGCUUCCACUAAUCCCAUUCGCCCGUUUGCGGUGCAUGAGGUGGACAUGCGGCUGUGGCAGUCGAGAUGGAACAUCUCGUGCGCGCGUUAAUUACGCUCGCCGACCGAAGCGCCAUCACCAUAUCUCCAGGAAAAACGAACCGGAUUGUCCCGAUUUUUAGACCGGCCCCACCAUGUCACCAGGCCUUAGGAAGUGGCGUCACACCCGACCGCUUCCCUCGAGGAGGGCGAUCGCCCUGGCAUAACGCCAGGGGCUACUGUCGGUGACAUGGGACCGGGAGUAUCAUGACUUAGAGACUUGAGGCAGACACGAUCACCCACGUGGCCUAACCCCCUCGGGGGGGGGGGGGGGGGUCGGGCCCGAGGGUGAUACGGCCGCCCUUCUCUUUGUCUCCCCGAGGGGUUGGACCGCUCCCGUCUCGGCCCCGAGGGCCGAGGCGCCCCGACCCCUUGUGGGUUUUGCGCCGCGUAUAUGGGGUAGGUGAGCAUAGCGGGGCUCACCUAACCACAUUUAUUGCGGUUUGGACGAGCGCGUCACGCCGCAUGUAACGCAGUGCAGCGCGCUCGUUUAUCCGGUCAGUGACCAGUCACAGACCGAUCAGAUCGUGGGUUAGGUGGCGACAGGCGGUCUGACGCACGCCUCGCCCCAUCCUGUCAGGACGAGAGCCUCCAAGCACUCGUCCCUAGCCGGAGCCGGCGUGUUAGCUCCUGGAGAUGGCACGUUGGUUCCGGUCAGAUAUAUGCCAGGCUUCAUCCUAACCAUUACAGGCAAGAUAUUGUAUGAAGAAGGGCGAACAUGCAGAUUUAUAGACUGACGCGUGGUGGACAAGAAUGACCGAUUUGUGACCGGUCUGACACUGGUCAUGUCGUCAGCAGACAGCCAUUUUCCCACGUCGCGCCUGCUUCCGGCGGAAGUGGAGGUAGGUAUGGGCUGUCCCAUCAGAAGGUCAUUCGGACGGCAACCAUACAAGUCUCCGUCUGUUUAUGAAAAGAUAGGAUAAGUCCCCACAAAAAAGAGAGAGAUGGUGCAUGUGGUAUCCCCUUGAGGUAUAAAAGGAGGACCUUGCCCACUUAGAAGAGGAGGAUUUUCGGAUCCAGAAAGAUCAGAGAGGGAGAAAGUAAGAGCUCUCUGGUUCUCCAGCUCUUUUGUAGCUUCUUCAUACACAGAUCCACCAAAACACAGGAGUAGGGUAUUACGCUUCUCAGCGGCCCGAACCUGUAUACAUCGCCCGUGUCUUGUGUGUUUCCACUCUCGCGAACCUUCCACACUCAGACCAGGAGCUUAGAAUCUCACCCAGGGCCCCCGGCCGAACCGGCAAAGGGGGGCCUGUGCGGUCUCCCGGUGAGGAGCCCCACGCUCCGUCACCUGCCAUCCUCUCUCCCCCUUCCCUUCUUCCUCCUCCCUCUCUCUCUCCCCUUCUUUUCCUCUUCGGCUGUCUACAGGGAGCGGCGGCGGCGGUGGGCAGGUGCAGGCCAGAGCGGCGACUACGGGCAGGCGAGGGACGGAGAGCGGCGGUGGAGGGAGGUCGAGAGCUAGAGCAGUGGCGGCUAGGCCUACGAUGGAGGGGGACGCCGCCUAAGCCAUGGUUGUGGAUUGCGGCACCUAGCAGAUCCCCCAUGACGCGCCGCCGUGGUCGGCUCCGAUGAAAAGCCAUGCCCCCACGCCACGCCCCAUCAAGAGAAGGCGAGGUGGGGGUCGACCGCCACAAGGGGAAGGAGGCAAGCUCGGAAGUGCGGAAGGAACGCCAAUAGACGGCUCGGGCACCGGCGACGCUCGCGACCAGAUGAGUGGGAUGGUGCCGGACGGUGGACAAAUCCCGCCAUUCCUUCCUCUCACGGCCUCCACCUCAAUUGACGCGGUGUGGGGGCACUACGGCUGACGACGGUGCGCACCGCUCUCCGUUGGGGCCGACGGCGCAACGCAGCAUUGGGGCGUCGUGGCCGACGACGGUGCGCGUGGAUCUCCGUCGGGGCCGACGACGUGAAGCGGUGUGGGGGCAUCACGAGUGAUGGCGGUGCACGCAGCGGGCGGCGAAGGGAGAGCUUGUCCAACACCUUUGGAAGCAGCUUGAACGCGCCCUCGGUGGCAGCGGAGCUGUUCUUGUCCGGGUGCAGGACGAGGCAGAGGCAGCGCCCUCAGGCACGGUGCCCCCUGGAUCCAGUCGUUAGGUCCUCGUUGUCGCCGCCACCGCUGCCCUGGAUUUAGCCAUUGGGCCGUCACGCCGCCAAUAAGAAGAAUGGAGGAUAUGGAGAGGG